UACAGAGGGUGCGAGCGUUAAUCGGAAUUACUGGGCGUAAAGGGCGCGUAGGUGGUUUUUUAAGUCAGAUGUGAAAUCCCCCAGCUUAACUGGGGUCGGUCAUCUGAGACUGGAAAACUAGAGUUGGUGAGAGGAAAGUAGAAUUUCCGGUGUAGCGGUGAAAUGCGUAGAUAUCGGAAAGAAUACCGAUGGCGAAGGCAGCUUUCUGGCACCAAACUGACACUGAGGCGCGAAAGCGUGGGGAGCAAACAGG
Molecule: ribosomal RNA, 253 nt
Filed under: uncultured bacterium
Lineage: Bacteria
Description: partial 16S ribosomal RNA
Rfam family: Bacterial small subunit ribosomal RNA
Source: RNAcentral